Molecule: ribosomal RNA, 530 nt
Filed under: Streptacidiphilus neutrinimicus
Lineage: Bacteria; Bacillati; Actinomycetota; Actinomycetes; Kitasatosporales; Streptomycetaceae
Description: bacterial SSU rRNA
Rfam family: Bacterial small subunit ribosomal RNA
Source: RNAcentral
GAACGCUGGCGGCGUGCUUAACACAUGCAAGUCGAACGGUGAAGCCCUUCGGGGUGGAUCAGUGGCGAACGGGUGAGUAACACGUGGGCAAUCUGCCCUGCACUCUGGGACAAGCCUUGGAAACGAGGUCUAAUACCGGAUAUUACCUUUGACCGCAUGGUCUUGGGUGGAAAGCUCCGGCGGUGCAGGAUGAGCCCGCGGCCUAUCAGCUUGUUGGUGGGGUGAUGGCCUACCAAGGCGACGACGGGUAGCCGGCCUGAGAGGGCGACCGGCCACACUGGGACUGAGACACGGCCCAGACUCCUACGGGAGGCAGCAGUGGGGAAUAUUGCACAAUGGGCGCAAGCCUGAUGCAGCGACGCCGCGUGAGGGAUGAAGGCCUUCGGGUUGUAAACCUCUUUCAGCAGGGAAGAAGCGCAAGUGACGGUACCUGCAGAAGAAGCACCGGCUAACUACGUGCCAGCAGCCGCGGUAAUACGUAGGGUGCGAGCGUUGUCCGGAAUUAUUGGGCGUAAAGAGCUCGUAGGCGG